CCUACGGGAGGCUGCAGUGGGGAAUAUUGGGCAAUGGGCGCAAGCCUGACCCAGCAACGCCGCGUGAAGGAAGAAGGCCCUCGGGUUGUAAACUUCUUUUGUCAGGGACGAAACAAAUGACGGUACCUGACGAAUACGCCACGGCUAACUACGUGCCAGCAGCCGCGGUAAUACGUAGGUGGCAAGCGUUAUCCGGAUUUACUGGGUGUAAAGGGCGUGUAGGCGGGAGAGCAAGUCAGAUGUGAAAUUCCAGGGCUCAACCCUGGAACUGCAUUUGAAACUGUUUUUCUUGAGUGAUGGGGAGGUAGGCGGAAUGCGGGGUGUAGCGGGGAAAUGCGUAGAUAUACGGAGGAACACCAGUGGCGAAGGCGGCCUGCGGGACAUUAACUGACGCUGAGGCGCGAAAGCGUGGGGAGCAAACAGGAUUAGAUACCCGAGUAGUC
Molecule: ribosomal RNA, 443 nt
Filed under: uncultured bacterium
Lineage: Bacteria
Description: partial 16S ribosomal RNA
Rfam family: Bacterial small subunit ribosomal RNA
Source: RNAcentral